This 447-nucleotide ribosomal RNA is filed under the name uncultured bacterium. RNAcentral's name for it is "partial 16S ribosomal RNA". It matches the Rfam family "Bacterial small subunit ribosomal RNA", at positions 29 to 523 of the family's 1533-position model. The record is from RNAcentral.
AACGAACGCUGGCGGCAGGCUUAACACAUGCAAGUCGAGCGCCCCGCAAGGGGAGCGGCAGACGGGUGAGUAACGCGUGGGAACGUGCCCUUUGCUACGGAAUAGCUCCGGGAAACUGGAAUUAAUACCGUAUGAGCCCUACGGGGGAAAGAUUUAUCGGCAAAGGAUCGGCCCGCGUUGGAUUAGCUAGUUGGUGGGGUAAAGGCCUACCAAGGCGACGAUGCAUAGCUGGUCUGAGAGGAUGAUCAGCCACAUUGGGACUGAGACACGGCCCAAACUCCUACGGGAGGCAGCAGUGGGGAAUAUUGGACAAUGGGCGCAAGCCUGAUCCAGCCAUGCCGCGUGAGUGAUGAAGGCCUUAGGGUUGUAAAGCUCUUUCACCGGAGAAGAUAAUGACGGUAUCCGGAGAAGAAGCCCCGGCUAACUUCGUGCCAGCAGCCGCCGCAG